Non-coding RNA from Pristionchus pacificus, 61 nucleotides. NCBI's taxonomy places the organism in Eukaryota, Metazoa, Nematoda, Chromadorea, Rhabditida, Neodiplogasteridae. The record is from Rfam.
UCUUCAUUUCACAUGUUCUCUCAUCGGUCAGAGAGGCGAGAGAGUGUGUGCAAUGAAGAGA